UGGCUAAGUGGUUAAAGCACUGGGCUGUUAACCAGAAGGUCGGUGGUUUGAACCCACC
This 58-nucleotide transfer RNA is filed under the name Loxodonta africana (African savanna elephant). It matches the Rfam family "tRNA", at positions 8 to 63 of the family's 71-position model. From Rfam's summary of the family: Transfer RNA (tRNA) molecules are approximately 80 nucleotides in length. Their secondary structure includes four short double-helical elements and three loops (D, anti-codon, and T loops). Further hydrogen bonds mediate the characteristic L-shaped molecular structure. tRNAs have two regions of fundamental functional importance: the anti-codon, which is responsible for specific mRNA codon recognition, and the 3' end, to which the tRNAs corresponding amino acid is attached (by aminoacyl-tRNA synthetases). tRNAs cope with the degeneracy of the genetic code in two manners: having more than one tRNA (with a specific anti-codon) for a particular amino acid; and 'wobble' base-pairing, i.e. permitting non-standard base-pairing at the 3rd anti-codon position. The record is from Rfam by way of RNAcentral. Lineage: Eukaryota; Metazoa; Chordata; Mammalia; Proboscidea; Elephantidae.